GAUAAGGAGCUUGCUCCUUUGACGUUAGCGGCGGACGGGUGAGUAACACGUGGGUAACCUACCUAUAAGACUGGGAUAACUUCGGGAAACCGGAGCUAAUACCGGAUAAUAUUUCGAACCGCAUGGUUCGAUAGUGAAAGAUGGUUUUGCUAUCACUUAUAGAUGGACCCGCGCCGUAUUAGCUAGUUGGUAAGGUAACGGCUUACCAAGGCGACGAUACGUAGCCGACCUGAGAGGGUGAUCGGCCACACUGGAACUGAGACACGGUCCAGACUCCUACGGGAGGCAGCAGUAGGGAAUCUUCCGCAAUGGGCGAAAGCCUGACGGAGCAACGCCGCGUGAGUGAUGAAGGUCUUCGGAUCGUAAAACUCUGUUAUUAGGGAAGAACAUACGUGUAAGUAACUGUGCACGUCUUGACGGUACCUAAUCAGAAAGCCACGGCUAACUACGUGCCAGCAGCCGCGGUAAUACGUAGGUGGCAAGCGUUAUCCGGAAUUAUUGGGCGUAAAGCGCGCGUAGGCGGUUUUUUAAGUCUGAUGUGAAAGCCCACGGCUCAACCGUGGAGGGUCAUUGGAAACUGGAAAACUUGAGUGCAGAAGAGGAAAGUGGAAUUCCAUGUGUAGCGGUGAAAUGCGCAGAGAUAUGGAGGAACACCAGUGGCGAAGGCGACUUUCUGGUCUGUAACUGACGCUGAUGUGCGAAAGCGUGGGGAUCAAACAGG
RNAcentral lists this ribosomal RNA (721 nucleotides) under Staphylococcus sp. T0-YC6748. Its description in RNAcentral is "bacterial SSU rRNA". It matches the Rfam family "Bacterial small subunit ribosomal RNA", at positions 70 to 776 of the family's 1533-position model. Lineage: Bacteria; Bacillati; Bacillota; Bacilli; Caryophanales; Staphylococcaceae. The record is from RNAcentral.